RNAcentral lists this unclassified non-coding RNA (226 nucleotides) under rhizosphere metagenome. RNAcentral describes it as "partial ribosomal RNA internal transcribed spacer region". The record is from RNAcentral.
GAGAGAGGGGCUUCGCGCUCCCGGGGGUCUCGGCCUCCUACUCUUCACCCUGUGUCUAUCUACCUUUGUUGCUUUGGCGGGCCUUGGGGUUCGCCUCACGCCGGCCUCGGGCCUUAUCGCCCGGGCCGGCGAGCGCCCGCCAGAGGCCCAUCAAACCCUGUUUAUCAGUGACGUCCGAGGCAAAACACAAAUAGUAAAAACUUUCAACAACGGAUCUCUUGGUUCU